RNAcentral lists this unclassified non-coding RNA (197 nucleotides) under rhizosphere metagenome. RNAcentral describes it as "partial ribosomal RNA internal transcribed spacer region". The record is from RNAcentral.
GAGACUGGGUGCUUCGGCGCCCGACCUCCAACCCCCUGUCUACCUUACCACUGUUGCCUCGGCGUCUCUGCCCACCUCCCCUCGUGGGUGGUGGGGGGUGCGCGCCGGCGGCCAAAAACAAAAACCCUUUUUUAAACCAAGCAAUCUGAGAAAUUAUUUUAAUAAUUACAACUUUCAACAACGGAUCUCUUGGUUCU